This is a long non-coding RNA of Prosopis cineraria, 651 nucleotides long. RefSeq lists it as uncharacterized. The record is from RefSeq and is a predicted model, not a curated record. The transcript has 3 exons. Lineage: Eukaryota; Viridiplantae; Streptophyta; Magnoliopsida; Fabales; Fabaceae.
UUUUUUUGCAUUUUGCUUCAUGAAUUUACCAAAUUACCCUCCUUUCAAAAUAUGAAAUUUCUCUUCCCCUUUCGAUCAUUCCAGACACGAGAGAGAGAGUGAGAGAGAAAGAGAGGUGCUCUGUUUUUCCCCUUCGUUCUUUCGUUAUUCCUCUGGGUCUUCGCAUCCUUCUCUUCCAAUUCUGCCACCUCUGACCACCACCGUUCGACACACCAUCAACAAGAGUAGAAACUCCACUUGCCGCUACUGUGACAUUGUCGAGAUCUCUUCGUUCUUUCCUGCUCUGUGUUUUCCGUAAACCACUGUAUUGUGGUAUAAAUCGGGGUUUGGAAGAAGAAGAUUUUGAUAGGAACUAAAAAGGGAGAAAAUCUUUGAAAAUUUGGGAACACCACAGAUAGUGUAGCUGACGUUGAAUCACCCACUGAACAUUGAGGAGUUUUUGAUUGAUUAGAAGCGGAGGAGCUAAGGAUUUAACUUUCUCUUAACGUAAAGUUUUAAUUAUGAAAUUUUAUUUUGUAAACUUAUUGUUAGGUGCUCCACAUAGUCUGUGGUCAGUUUUUUUUUUUGUGGUUAUAUAUUUUAUCUGUCAGCUGGAAGGAGCUCUACUCUUGAUUGGCUUGAUAUUUUUGGUUGAAAUAUUAUCUUGUAGAA